AGCAGCCGCGGUAAUUCCAGCUCCAAUAGCGUAUAUUAAAGUUGUUGCAGUUAAAAAGCUCGUAGUUGAAUUUCGGGAUCAAUAUGUUGGUCGUGCCUCGGUACGUACUAGCUUAUUGGUUUCUCCUUUCUGAAGAACCAUGAUGUCAUUUAUUUGGUGUCGUGGGGAAUCAGGACUGUUACUUUGAGAAAAUUAGAGUGUUUAAAGCAGGCUCACGCUUGAAUACAUUAGCAUGGAAUGAUGAAAUAGGACGUUUGAUUCUAUUUUGUUGGUUUCUAGGAUCGACGUAAUGAUUAAUAGGGAUAGUUGGGGGCAUUAGUAUUCAAUUGUCAGAGGUGAAAUUCUUGGAUUUAUUGAAGACUAACUACUGCGAAAGCAUUUGCCAAGGAUGUUUUCAUUAAUCAAGAACGAAAGUUAGGGGAUCGAAGACGAUCAGAUACCGUCGUAGUCUUAACCAUAAACUAUGCCGACUAGGGAUCGGAUGAUGUUAAUUUUUAAUGA
Molecule: unclassified non-coding RNA, 501 nt
Filed under: uncultured Glomus
Lineage: Eukaryota; Fungi; Glomeromycota; Glomeromycetes; Glomerales; Glomeraceae
Description: SSU rRNA
Rfam family: Eukaryotic small subunit ribosomal RNA
Source: RNAcentral